This 310-nucleotide unclassified non-coding RNA is filed under the name Hevea brasiliensis (rubber tree). Lineage: Eukaryota; Viridiplantae; Streptophyta; Magnoliopsida; Malpighiales; Euphorbiaceae. The record is from RNAcentral.
GAAAGAGCACAGAAGUACAUCAGGUUGGAUGACAAGCGAUAGUCCUUGAGGGAAGAAAGGAAGUCCGCACAAGGCAACGACAAGAGGCAGGGAAAAAAGAGCUAUAAUUCAAACCGAAGGGGUUAUAGCUCGGAUAGAAAUGCCAAUUGAAACAAGGAGAGGUUCCAUAACUACACACCACUCAAUGAGACUAGAUCAAGGGUCUUGAUGUGGAUAUAGAAAAAUGAUGAAUAGAUUAAAUGGUUAAAGAGACAACCUAGAUACUUUAGGAAAGAGGGACGAGUAAGUUGUGUAGAUUUCACAAUGAUCA